Daktulosphaira vitifoliae (grape phylloxera) is the source of this 687-nucleotide long non-coding RNA. RefSeq lists it as uncharacterized. The record is from RefSeq and is a predicted model, not a curated record. The transcript is spliced from 3 exons. Lineage: Eukaryota; Metazoa; Arthropoda; Insecta; Hemiptera; Phylloxeridae.
AUUUGCAAAUAUGAAAUUUCCGAAUGUGGUAUGUGUGGCUGUGUAAUUCAUUCGAAGUUCCAUAGGUUCCAUUAUUACACUAAAUGUUGUAAAGAGAGAAUAUGUAAAUAUUGUUAUAAGUAUCUAGAAAUCUCUGGUCAUGAUAAAAUAUGUAAUAUUUGUUUCAGAGAUGCAGGUAAUAAAGGAUACAAAAAAGCUGUAAUUGUUCCGUGCGCAAAUUGCAAUGAAAAUAAAGCAAACCAUAAUGUUUCUUCAAAAUGCAUACAUUAUUAUUGUAAAAAGUGUACAGAAGAAAAAGUCAAAACUCAUACAAAAUGUAAUCAUUGUUAUGAGUAUUUAAAAGCUCGAACUUUGAAAAGUUUGUUUCUUCAUUAAAUUUUAUUUGAUUAAAGUAAAUUUGAUCACUAAAUUCAAAAAAUUGUCGUAUAUGGCCAAUUGUUUGGCAUAUACGUAUAUUUCAUUAUAAUGUAAUUGAUAAUUAUCAAUGAAAAAUUUAUAAUCUUUAUUUUAUAUUACUUGUAAAUAAAUAAAUAACUUAUCUGUCAUAAGAUGUAAACUGUUCAACACAACUUCUUAUUAUUUAUAUAUAUGUCAAUUUAUCCAUUGUUAAAUAUGCUAUCUCAAUAUAAUAAUUAUGUAAUGUAUAAUUAAAUACAAUAAUCUAAAAAGAUCACUAAAAGCGCUGAC